Molecule: ribosomal RNA, 259 nt
Filed under: uncultured bacterium
Lineage: Bacteria
Description: partial 16S ribosomal RNA
Rfam family: Bacterial small subunit ribosomal RNA
Source: RNAcentral
GGGAAGCAAAGGGGCGGACCUGGAGCGAAACCCGAAAAAAGUAGUCUCAGUUCGGAUUGCAGGCUGAAACCCGCCUGUAUGAAGUCGGAAUUGCUAGUAAUCGCGGAUCAGCAUGCCGCGGUGAAUACGUUCCCGGGCCUUGUACACACCGCCCGUCACACCAUGAGAGCCGGUAACACCCGAAGUCAGUAGCUUAACCGCAAGGAGGGCGCUGCCGAAGGUGGGAUUGGUAAUUGGGGUGAAGUCGUAACAAGGUAGC